This 1121-nucleotide ribosomal RNA is filed under the name Perna perna. Its description in RNAcentral is "16S ribosomal RNA". The stretch from base 736 to 1056 matches the Rfam family "Bacterial large subunit ribosomal RNA", at positions 2072 to 2648 of the family's 2925-position model. Lineage: Eukaryota; Metazoa; Mollusca; Bivalvia; Mytilida; Mytilidae. The record is from RNAcentral.
ACUGUAAAGGAUAAAGCAAUUUAAGAUAGUAAGGAUUAAUUCCUGUACCUUUUGUAUAAGGGUUCUUCAAGAAAUAAAACAUAUGUUUGUACCCCGAAAGAAAAAAAGUUACUUUUUUUCAUACAUUUAACGUGGCAGAGUUAAAUUAUAAAACAAGGUGAAAGUGACAUGCUAUUUGCUUUUUUUGAUAUCUGGUUGGUUUAAAAAAAUAUAUAGUAUUGGCUAUUUUUAUAGUCUCAGAACUUUUGGGAUAAGCUGAAAGUAUUUAAUUUGAAUCUGAAUAAAAUAUAGGACUUUUAUAGGCUUUAUAUUAGUUCAUUUUUAGUUUGUCAUAAAUAAGGUCCUGUGGUAGGAAAUAAGAAUUAUGUUUUCAUUGUUUAUAAUAAACCUAUAAGCUUGAGCUUAAUAAUAAUGAUAGAAAUGAGUAAAUGGAUAAGAUUAAGUAUAGAAAUACUAAUUAAAAUAAUGCAAUUUUAAGUCCCAGUAAUGAACUCGGCAAAUUAUAUUCCUCGACUGUUUAACAAAAACAUUUCUCAUAGAAAUUGAUUAUGGGUAGGCCCUGCCCGGUGUAGAUAGUUAAUACCUAUUUAUUAACGGCGGCAUUAACGUGAGUGUCCUAAGGUAGCGCGAUAAUUUGCCCUUUAAUUGGGGGAUGGUAUGAAAGGGUUAACGUGGGAAUUCCUGUGUCACUGGGUUUAUUUGAAAUUAUUUUUAAAGUGAAGAAACUUUAAUAAAGCAGAAAGACGACAAGACCCUAUGAAGCUUUAUUAUUUAACCUAUGAAUGUAGGUUUAUAUUUUUAAUGGGGCAUUAUAAAUAAAAUUUUAAUAUAUUUAUCUUACUAGAUACAACUGUAUACAUAUAAGGUUAGCUACUCUAGGGAUAACAGCGAAAUUUCUUUUGCUAGAAGUUAUUAAAAAAGAAGUUUUCGACCUCGAUGUUGGCUUUAGGUAACCAUUGGGUGUAUCAGCUCAAAUGCGUGGGUUUGUUCAACCUUUAAUUCCUAACAUGAGCUGAGUUCAGAACGGCGUGAGCUAGUUCAGUUUCUAUCUUCUGUUAAAUAAAGGUGGGUUUGGUACGCAAGGAACAAUUCAUCCAGAUAAUCUGUAUUUUCAUUAAGCU